AGAGAGAGAGAGAGAGAGAAUUCUUCCUGGCUUUAUGGUCAGAUUGAAUUUUAUAUGUAGCGGUAAAACAAUGUGUGUGUGUGUGCAUCUGACUCUCUCCAUGUCUCUGGGGCAGUGUUUGGACCUAGGACCUUUGGAAUGGUCAUAGCAACAUCAAUGAGUGCUUUUUUAUCAUCCGCUUAUUAUCCAUUGACUUUUUUAAGGUCUGUGGAUGCUGGUGCAGCAACAUCAUUAUUUGAUAAAAUAUCCUACAUGUAUUUAUAUAUCUUACAUCUUCUGCUCUGUUUAUUUAAUUAUUUGUGGUAUAUGGUAAUUUGGUAGUUUUUCUGACCUUGCCAAGCAUGAUCUUAUCUUUUGAACUUUAUGUUCAGGGAAAGAAACUUAUGGUGAUA
RNAcentral lists this unclassified non-coding RNA (392 nucleotides) under Hevea brasiliensis (rubber tree). Lineage: Eukaryota; Viridiplantae; Streptophyta; Magnoliopsida; Malpighiales; Euphorbiaceae. The record is from RNAcentral.